This 429-nucleotide ribosomal RNA is filed under the name Sycettusa simplex. RNAcentral describes it as "LSU rRNA". Lineage: Eukaryota; Metazoa; Porifera; Calcarea; Leucosolenida; Heteropiidae. The record is from RNAcentral.
AGCGCGUGCCGGUAAACCUGCGGUCGCAGGAUCCGUGGAGAUAUGGGUGUGGUGGUGGUCUAGUGUGGAGUUGUGGCUCGUGACGCACGUCAGGAGUCGUAGACCGCGUGUGGACCGUUGUCGACCGAUCGGGGCUCUCCGUCCACGGCGUCGCUAGUAGAGAGAGGAGCCAGGGUGCUGCUUGGGUCGUGUGCCUAGACAUUGUGAGUCAGGCUUCUGGCUCGAUGGAAAAGGUGCGUGGAACAGCAGGCAGCUCUUGGCUGCGACUGCGCGUGCGGGCACCUCACGUGGUAUCGAGCGGGUGGCGGCGGUGGCGUCCAUCAGGUAAGCCUAGGUGUGUUGCCGUUGAGCUGUUCUGAUCGGCCGACUUGGUGUCUGCGCGUAACGAUCGGCUCGCGCAAAGGGAAAGUUGCCAAAGUGCACGAAAAU